UUAACUCUUCAGAAGAAACGGGCAAAUAUUUAAAUCUCUAUUAAGUUAUCUUUUAAGGAAAAACAACAAUAUUCAGAGUAAAUGUUAAUAGUCCUUUAUGCACCCUGACCUCUCUGUGCAAGCUAUGGCUUUCUCUAGCUGGCCAGUUAUGGCUACACUCAAUUCUUUCACUCAGGAAUGAGAAUUCAGUAAAAGAAACAGUUGCUGCAUUUCCACAACUUUUAUGUCAAUGUCUCUUUAUCAGAAACCUUGCAUGCACAAGAUCUGAAGCCUUCUUGUAUAUAUUAGUUUUUACUUUAAAAAAGCCUCAAGAUGUAAAUACAUUCUCAGUUUUGUCUUCUCACCUUCCACCCCCAUAACUAACGGUGAUGGAACUCCGAAGCUACUAUUGGUACUAUAUUAAAUUUAAAAAUUAGAUAAAGCCGGGCAUGGUGGCGCACGCCUUUAAUCUCAGCACUCAGGAGGCAGAAGCAGGAGGAUUUCUGAGUUCCAGGACAGCCUGGUCUACAAAGUGAGUUCCAGGACAGCCAGGGCUAUACAGAGAAACCCUGCCUCAAAAAAAAACAAAAACAAAAACAAAAACAAAAACAAAAAACAAAACAAAUAAAAUAAAUAAAUAAAUAAAUAAAUAAAUAAAAAUUAGAUAAAUGUAAAACCUCACUGAACAAGGUAGAGGAGAGAUUUUCCUUGUCUCCCUCUUGAUCCUUACCUGGAUACUCCAAAUGGAUCUAGGGACCCAGUUAAUACAUAACCAAUUAACAUGAGAAAAAUAUUACUAGCUUUGAAUAGACAUGGGAUACUUCCGGAAAAAUAAAAACCAAAGAAACGACCAGAGAGCAGUAGCUUUUACCCAUCAGUAACUUUGUGAAAGAAUGCAAGCACGGACAAACAGAUCUUCAGGCAGGGUAGAACAUUUGAGAGAGAUUAACAGAUAUGAGGUCAAAGGUCAGGUGGCAGAUGUAAAGUCUGAGGGGAAAUGAGGGCCACUUCAGGGCUUUCUGUAGGCUCACCAGUGAGCAGUCUCUGAUACUAAGGUUACUCUCCCAAACAAUCUAGGUGGCUUGUAGGUAACACAGGCCCAAUGCACCCCCUUCUGAAGUUAGGAAAAUGUCAACUGAUUUUACCUUAAAAUCAUCAACUUGUCAAUUAAGCAUAUUCUGGGAUGUAUAUCCUUGGCUCCUUCCAUUACCCUACAUAACUAAACUAACUCAGGACGUUUGUUGUGCAAUGCAUUUGAAGGCUCUUGUGCAGGAGCUCAAUGUUCCCUUGUAGAUAAACGGACUCCGUGACAGCACAUCUCGUCUUCUGAUACCCUACGAUGCUCUGCACCAGCUCUGCACAGAACGGGGCAAUAUGUACUGGAUUGAUGAGUUUUAAUGAUUGACUAACCAGAGUUCAAAACUCACAGAAGCCCAAAGCAGGAGAUAGUAGUUAAAUCAGGAGCAUGUGGAGACAAGUAUGGAUAACAAAUAAUUAGCUUUUAGAAGCUCAUAUCUGCGCUGGAGUGAUGACCCAGUGGUGACAAGCAGUUGUUGCUCUUGCGGAGGGCCUGGGUUUGUAUCCUAGCACCCAUAUGGCAGUUCACAACUGUCUAUAACUCCAAUCCCAGGAGUUCUGGCACCCUCUUCUGACCUCCAUAGUCACCAGGCACACAUGUGGUAUACAUACAUACAUGCAUGCAAAACAAUCAUACACAUAACAUAAAUCUAAGUUUUUUAAAAAUUUGUAACAGCAUUAGUAAUAGUGUCACACUAUCAUGGGAAGGUGGUGUUUCACGAGUCUUUGCUCUUUCCUGCCUGUUGACUUCUGGAGAUGUCUGUUCUGUCGUGCUCUCAGCUAAACAUCAGUGUAUCAGGAUGGUACCUCAAACCAUCCCGGGAGUUCCAUUUGGAUAAAAGCCUUUCCCUUAGUUGCUUCUGGGGAUAUAAAGGAAGCACAGAGUAACCUAUCACAUAGAUUCAGAAAGAGAAGUCAGGUCGGGGGCGGCGGGGGUGGGGGAGGGGGGAUAACAGGAGGCUGGGGGUCAAAAGACAUUGUUGCUGCCGGGCAGUGGCGGCACACGCCUUUAACCUCAGCACUUGGGAGGCAGAUGCAGGCAGAUUUCUGAGUUCGAGGCCAGCCUGGUCUACAGCAUGAGUUCCAGGACAGCCAGGGCUACACAGAGAAACCCUGUCUCGAAAAAAAAGACAUUAUUGCCUACUUGACAAUGUAGACCAUACCACAGGCAACAUCUCCUUUCUAGACUAGAAACAAAGCUUUGUUUCUCAGACAGUGGCUUUAUUCAUAUACAGCACGCAAUUGGAAAGGACAGGAAGCAGUCAGACUCACUAAUUCCAAAGCCAUGUGAUUUAGCAUAGCACAAAAGAACAGGGCCUUAAGAGUUAUCAGAACUUUGGCUUGGUGCAGACACCCAAAUGCCUUGUCGGCAUAGCAAUGUGCGGCUGUCCACAGAGCUCUCAAGGAACCCCAAAAAGAACGGUGUAAGCAAAUCCCUUCUUCCAUAGAUGAGUUACGUUGGAGGCUAUGAGCUGCUGGCCCACAGGCUGAAUUGGACUUGUACAAUGUGUAAAGGAGUUUAAAAAUAAAAAUCCGAAUUUCCAACUUAUCUAGGAGAAGGAGAGAAGAGCAGAGGGUGGGCAGGCCCAAUUGGUCCUGGAUUCUGGAGAGGCAACGUGGUGAGGUGUAAGGAGAAGGUACAAAAGGCGAAGUAGCAUCAUUAGUGAUGGCCACCUGCUCUGACCACCGGAGGAGUCAGUUCCUUUAGGGCCUUGGUUGGCAGCUUGAGCAUAGAUGUUCUAGAUAAGUAAUGAAGGAUACUCUCUCGAGGGAAGAGGAGUGCCUAUCCUGCAAAGCAUGAAGAACAUGCAGCUCCUUUGAGGGAACUUUGCAUCCAAGCCCACCCACUGACAGCUCUGCUCUGCCUGAACUCCUCAGCCAUCCAUAGGCUGCUAAUGUAGGAGAUCCAAGAGUCUCCCUGACUGCUAGCGAGUCGCAGGAGGGUUAAACUACUAUUCAUAUUCUGCUUCCUAAAGUCCCCUCUUUGGCCCAGACUCCCUUCUUGAGGGACAGGAGGCUUUACAUAUUUCUCCACCUGAACUGUCCAAAACUGACGUCAUUUCCUCGGACCCCUCGUGCGCUCCUCCAAAGCACCCUCCCUAUAUGCAAUCUUUCUCUGAGACGACUGGGAUUCCUCAGUGGCCAUUGGGCAACUGUCUUCUCCACUCUUCUCGUAUGCACACCCCUCCCCGUCCUGAUUGUAGCCAGCAUGGUAUGUCUACACACAAGCACAGUGACAUCGUCCACCCAGCUGUCUGUGGUCUAUCUCUCUACCUGCUUGAUACUAGCCCUGAACUCACUGCUAAGAAGCAUGAAGGGAGUUUACAAGCUCGUAAGUCAGCCUGCCUUGCUUUCCCAGGCUAGAGGUAAGAGCCUUAUUAUCUAUCCCUGCAGGCAGAGUGAGCUUCACAUUUCCCACAGCUCUUGUUCCUCUAGACGCACCACAGUCCUGGGAGAUGUCGCACAGUAUUGAGUUUAUUCCACAGAUGAGAAAUGUUGUGUUUAGGGAUCCCCAAUCUAAAAGGGACAUCUAUCAAACCUGCCCUAAUAAAUGAAUGGACAUGGCCAGAAGAUAGAUUCCAAUAUCCCUUCCAUGGGCUCAUCUCUAAGGGCUUAAAUUCCUCCAUGUAUAAGCUUCAACUCUUAAAAUAUGCCUCCAUCUCCCAGUAACCAAGAGGGUGACCAGGUUUUUAAUAUAUGGACCUUUGGGACACAUAUCCAACCUACAGCAGUGAGGAAGGCAGAGGAUAUCCUGUAAACACUGUCUGACUCAACCUCAUCGUAGGCACUUUUCAUAGGGAGUAAGUUUCUGUGGCUCCAAGUUCCAACUAGAUGUGUGUAUUUUUUUUUUUCUUAAACUUUUUACCCUCUUUGGAACCUGCUUGUCCAUGCAUUUCAAAAACAUGGCCCCCGUGUGUCAGUGAGGUGGCUCAACAGGUAUAGUCACUUGCUGCCAAACCUAUGAAGUUGAGUUCUAUCCCUAGAACAAUCCUUCUGCCCAGCACCUCAGCACGCCGCUGCUGACCCCAAGAUAGAAUCAGAGAACUGGUUUCUUCAGGUUGUCCUAUCCUUUACUUGCUGCAAGCUCAAGGACACAAGUAAAACUUAAAAAGAGGAAGAGGAGGAGGGCACGUGGAAUUGGGCAAGCUCACAGCUCUGCCAGCAAACCAAAUGACUUCUCUUGAUCGCAGGUUCUCCUGGUUAGAAAUCAGACGAAUGGCGUUCCAUUUCUUACAUCUGUUGGGGUUAAUAAAUAUAUCUUUCCAGCACACAAGACAGCGUGAGCACUCAAAAAACGGUCUCUGCCUUGCACAAAUUCUACCCUACCUCAUUUGUGGUCUACAAAGUUACUAUGUUAUUCCCACUAGCCUUGGAAAUUAUAAACUUGGAAGACUCAGUCCUAAAACCAUUGACGUUAAUCUGCUUAAGGCUACAAAACCAGCAUUUGCAUUGCAAACUCUAAGAACGACAUUUAGCCCUAGGCCACCUCCCACGUAAUAAACACUUCCUUCUGAAGGUCUAAACUGGACUUAGGACCACUACCUCCUGAGGAAAGUGAGCUGCAUUAUGAAGACCAAGGGUGGCAUCAGGUUUUGAGGCAGAAGGGCUGGCCAUACAAUCUCAGGGCAAGGGCUCAGCACCACGCUGAUGCCCCACCUCCUAUGCCUUGACUUUCUGGCAACUCCAACCAAAAGCUUCACGUCCGCUGGCCCCCGCCCUGUUAACGUCACGGCCACUUGGUACAGUGCCCCCUAGGGGCCUCAGUUCCUCCCACGAGGAAGAGUCUAGUCUUUCCUGCUGCUGGCCCUUUACUGUGCCGCUUGGCUCUCUGGUGCCUCCCACGCCAGCCCGGGGAAGAACUUGCAGCCGCAUCUCGGCGCCUGGGGAUAACCAGUCACCCCGCACUCUGCAGCAGCAUGAGCGUCCGCCUCCCUCUCCUGCUUCGCCAGCUCGGCCGCCAGCAGCUGCCCUCGGGCCCGGCGUGUCGCCUCCGUGAGCUGUGUCGCUCAGGCAGCAGAAGCAGCAGCAGCGGAGGUGGUGACCCCGAGGGGUUACGCGGGCGGCGGCUGCAGGAUGGCCAAACCUUCAGCAGCCAUGGCCCAGGCAAUCCGGAAGCCCCCGGGAUGGACUCCAUCGUCAGAGACGUCAUUCACAAUUCCAAGGAAGUGCUGAGCUUGUUGCAAGAAAAGAACCCUGCCUUUAAGCCAGUGCUUGUGGUUAUUCAGGCCGGUGAUGACAAUUUGAUGAAGGAUAUGAACCAGAAUUUGGCCAAGGAGGCUGGUCUGGACAUCACUCACAUCUGCUUGCCUCCAGACAGCGGAGAGGAUGAGAUCAUAGAUGAAAUCCUGAAGAUUAAUGAAGACCCCAGAGUGCAUGGCCUUACCCUUCAGAUCUCUGAAGAUUCAUUGAGCAACAAAGUUCUCAAUGCUUUGAAACCAGAAAAAGAUGUGGACGGGGUGACCGACAUCAAUCUGGGGAAGCUCGUACGAGGUGACGCUCCGGAGUGUUUUGUUUCACCCUUGGCCAAAGCUGCUGUAGAACUUGUUGAAAAGUCAGGGAUCACUUUGGAUGGAAAGAAGGUCUUGGUCGUAGGGGCGCACGGGCCCCUGGAAGCUGCCCUGCAGUGGCUUUUCCAGAGAAAAGGAUCUAUGACAAUGAGCUGCCCCUGGGCAACACCUCAGCUUCCAGACAAGCUUCGAGAGGCAGACAUUGUGGUCUUAGGCUCACCUAAGCCAGAAGAGAUUCCUGCUGUGUGGAUUCCAUCAGGAACCACCAUUCUCAAUUGCUUCCAUGACUUCUUGUCAGGGAAGCUGAGCGGAGGUUCUCCUGGGGUCCCCGUGGACAAACUCAUUGCAGAAGAGAGCGUGAGUCUCCUUGCUGCGGCUCUGCGCAUUCAGAACAUGGUGAGCAGCGGCAGGAGGUGGCUCAGAGAGCAGCAACAUCGAAGAUGGCGACUGCACUGCUUGAAACUGCAGCCUCUCUCACCUGUGCCCAGUGAUAUUGAGAUUUCUCGAGGACAGACUCCAAAAGCUGUGGAUGUCCUUGCCAAGGAGAUAGGAUUGCUUGCAGAUGAAAUUGAAAUCUAUGGCAAGAGCAAAGCCAAAGUCCAAUUGUCCCUGCUGGAGAGGUUAAAGGAUCAAACAGAUGGAAAAUACGUCUUGGUUGCUGGGAUCACGCCCACCCCGCUCGGAGAAGGGAAGAGUACAGUCACCAUCGGACUAGUGCAGGCGCUGACCGCUCACCUGAAAGUCAACUCCUUCGCCUGUCUGAGGCAGCCUUCUCAGGGACCCACUUUUGGAGUGAAAGGAGGAGCUGCAGGAGGUGGAUAUGCUCAGGUCAUCCCCAUGGAGGAGUUCAACCUUCACCUGACUGGGGACAUCCAUGCCAUCACUGCCGCUAAUAACUUGCUGGCCGCAGCCAUCGACACGAGAAUUUUACAUGAGAGCACUCAAACAGACAAGGCUCUCUACAAUCGACUGGUUCCCUUAGUGAAUGGUGUCAGAGAAUUUUCAGAAAUUCAACUUUCUCGGCUGAAGAAACUGGGGAUACAUAAGACUGAUCCAAGCACACUGACCGAGGAGGAAGUGAGGAAGUUCGCCCGCCUCAACAUUGACCCCGCAACCAUCACGUGGCAGAGAGUAUUGGACACGAACGACCGAUUUCUGAGAAAAAUAACCAUUGGACAGGGAAGUACAGAGAAAGGAUAUUCCCGGCAGGCACAGUUUGACAUUGCAGUGGCCAGCGAGAUCAUGGCCGUGCUGGCCUUGACUGAUAGCCUCACAGACAUGAAAGAGCGGCUAGGAAGAAUGGUGGUGGCCAGUGACAAAGACGGGCAGCCUGUGACAGCUGAGGACUUGGGGGUGACCGGCGCUCUGACAGUUUUGAUGAAAGACGCCAUCAAGCCAAAUCUGAUGCAGACCCUUGAAGGAACACCUGUGUUUGUGCACGCUGGUCCCUUUGCCAACAUCGCUCACGGCAACUCAUCAGUAUUAGCUGAUAAAAUCGCGCUGAAAUUGGUCGGCGAAGAAGGGUUUGUGGAGUACACCCAGAAUAGUUUCUCCAUGCUCUCUGCAUCAACCCCAACCUUCCCCAGUGUGUGGUGACCUGGUCAUGGGGCAAGCGGGAAGGAAGGGUCUUCAAAAUACUGUUAAUUUGUGGUUCCAGUGAUCUCUUCCUCAGCUUCACAAUAUGUGCCCAUGACUGAAGCUGGCUUUGGGGCUGAUAUUGGGAUGGAGAAAUUCUUCAAUAUCAAAUGCCGAGCUUCUGGCCUGGUGCCCAACGUUGUCGUGCUGGUAGCCACCGUUCGAGCUCUGAAGAUGCAUGGAGGCGGGCCGAGUGUAACUGCUGGGGUUCCUCUCAAGAAAGAAUAUACAGAGGAGAACAUUCAGCUGGUAGCUGAUGGCUGCUGCAACCUACAGAAGCAAAUUCAGAUCGCUCAGCUCUUCGGGGUGCCGGUGGUGGUGGCACUGAAUGUCUUCAAGACGGACACCCGUGCAGAGAUUGACUUGGUGUGUGAGCUCGCUAAACGGGCCGGUGCCUUUGAUGCGGUCCCCUGCUAUCACUGGUCGGCUGGAGGGAAAGGAUCUGUGGACUUGGCCCGGGCUGUGAGAGAAGCUGCGAAUAAAAGAAGCCGCUUCCAGUUCCUGUAUGAUGUUCAGCUUCCCAUCGUGGAAAAGAUAAGAGUCAUUGCCCAGACUGUCUAUGGAGCCAAGGACAUUGAGCUGUCUCCUGAGGCGCAGUCCAAAAUCGAUCGCUAUACGCAACAGGGUUUUGGAAAUUUGCCCAUUUGCAUGGCGAAGACCCACCUCUCUCUCUCUCAUGAACCUGACAAAAAGGGAGUGCCGAGGGAUUUCACUCUGCCCAUCAGUGAUGUCCGGGCCAGCAUCGGGGCUGGGUUCAUUUAUCCUUUGGUGGGAACGAUGAGCACAAUGCCAGGACUGCCCACCCGACCCUGCUUUUAUGAUAUAGACCUUGACACAGAAACGGAGCAAGUUAAAGGCUUGUUCUAAUGGAAUGAAACCCACAGGACUGGGCAAGAAAACAGCUCACACAAGAAUCCCAGCCUUUAAAACCACAACACAAGUAAGAGUUUAACACCAGAGGAAAAGACGACUUGGCUCUGAGACCCCACCCCCUCUUUUUCAGAGUCUUCAAACAAAAAACGUCUCCUUGCCUUUUUGCUGCAGUUGGAGAAGAAAAUGAAUUUUGAAAUCUUGUGAUGCAAUGCUGGAGCAAUCCUGAGACAGGCCAAAGACCGCUUCCUCAUACAAGAUUAACUCUGUUUCCAGCCAAGUGGUGUUCAACAGAAGGACCUGCGCCACAUCUGGAAGGAGUGAAGUUACUCUUGGUUCCGAUAGUGUUUACACCAUUUCUGCUGCUUAUACUUUAGAAAGUUUAUUUUAUGGGGACUAGGGCUUUGCAAGAGUGUGAACUAAAAGCUAAUGCUUCCGUCUUUGGAGUUUUCUCUUUCAUCUUUUUUAUUCUUCCUUUCCUCACCUGUGUUGAGGAUGGGAUGUCAGGCCUCUGCUUGCACCGUCCAGCGCUGUGCUGCCAAACUGUAUUUGUUUUUGUCUUUGAACUGAAAAUAAACAUGUGUUCUAGAAAACCGUG
RNA transcript from Mus musculus (house mouse), 8667 nucleotides. It is a transcript of the gene named methylenetetrahydrofolate dehydrogenase (NADP+ dependent) 1-like, with no coding region annotated. The transcript is spliced from 29 exons. NCBI's taxonomy places the organism in Eukaryota, Metazoa, Chordata, Mammalia, Rodentia, Muridae. The record is from RefSeq and is marked validated.